This 433-nucleotide ribosomal RNA is filed under the name uncultured bacterium. RNAcentral describes it as "partial 16S ribosomal RNA". It matches the Rfam family "Bacterial small subunit ribosomal RNA", at positions 29 to 507 of the family's 1533-position model. The record is from RNAcentral.
AACGAACGCUGGCGGCAUGCCUAACACAUGCAAGUCGAACGAGACCUUCGGGUCUAGUGGCGCACGGGUGCGUAACGCGUGGGAACCUGCCCUUAGGUUCGGAAUAACUCCCCGAAAGGGGUGCUAAUACCGGAUAAUGUCUUCGGACCAAAGAUUUAUCGCCUUUGGAUGGGCCCGCGUUGGAUUAGCUAGUUGGUAGGGUAAAAGCCUACCAAGGCGACGAUCCAUAGCUGGUCUGAGAGGAUGAUCAGCCACACUGGGACUGAGACACGGCCCAGACUCCUACGGGAGGAAGCAGUGGGGAAUAUUGGACAAUGGGCGAAAGAAUGAGCCAGCAAUGCCGCGUGAGUGAUGAAGGACUUAGGGUUGUAAAGCUCUUUUACCCGGGAUGAUAAUGACAGUACCGGGAGAAUAAGCUCCGGCUAACUCCGUG